AUGAAUGGCAUGGCAACUCUAAAUAUAAAUGAUGGAAAAUGGGUAAACAAAUUAAAAUAAAUUUUAAUUUGGUGCGGAAAAAAAUAUCCGUCUCCGCAGCCGCAAUAUUGUAUUUCUACCCAUAGAUAGAACAUAUCUUAACCGCAACAGAAAAGAGGUCAUCAACACCAUUAGGCAACCCAUUAACAACAAUAUCGGCACGAUUAAGUCUUUUGUGCAAAAUAUUAUUCUCCAACGCAGUUAGCUUUCUGGUUGUCGAUACUAUGUAUAAGUUUGUUGCAGUCAACAAUCUUAGACUUCAUUUCUUAUUUAUUAAAAAAUAAAUAUAAAGAUAUUCAAAUUUGUGAGGAAAAUAUAUUCUAUUCCGGCAGCUUAAUUUGCAAAAUUUAAUUUGGAUCUCUAUGCUCUUCAAUUUCCGGUCUUUUGUGUUGAGCGUGAUUCGACCGGUUUCCUCACGCUCCCCUGGAGGUUUUCCGAACAUUUGAGACACGUUGUGGUAACUACUCCAGUAAAUCCGCACUUAUAGCAGAAUAAGUUUCGCUGCAUGGAUGGACAUUCUUUAAAUAAAUGACCUGCUCAUCCCUAUAUUAUUUAUUGGUUUCUAUAAUGAGUUCGCGGAUUAAACCUGCAUAUGCUCUGGGACUAUGUCCUAUGGAGAUUCCUCUUUGUAAUUGGGGAAUUGGUGGCGGUGGCAUAUUAUAGUUUAUUAUGGUCUAGGAUUAUGAAUCUUUGGAAUUGCUCCUGUUGAUUGCCCUGAAUUUUCCUUACUGGGUUCGGUUUGGUUCUCUUAGCAAGUAUUGGGAGUUUUAAUUGUUUCGAACAUAUCUAUAAUAUCGCCUGCUUCUAUGUUUUCAGUUCCCGGAGGUGUUCUUUGAAUGGGCAUCGUGAAUACUAAUAUCUUUGAAUUCUAAUUUAUAAAUUUAUCAAUUUUUCCUAAUAGUUAUGAGACAAACGUUAAACACAAUAUAUUAACAUAUAAUACUAUACUAACUUAAUAAAAAAAUAAAAUUUUACAAAACA
Long non-coding RNA from Lucilia cuprina (Australian sheep blowfly), 1020 nucleotides. RefSeq lists it as uncharacterized. The record is from RefSeq and is a predicted model, not a curated record. Lineage: Eukaryota; Metazoa; Arthropoda; Insecta; Diptera; Calliphoridae. The transcript has 3 exons.